UACGUAGGGGGCGAGCGUUGUCCGGAAUUAUUGGGCGUAAAGAGCGUGUAGGCGGUUUGGUAAGUCUGCCGUGAAAACCCGGGGCUCAACCCCGGGCGUGCGGUGGAUACUGCCAGGCUAGAGGAUGGUAGAGGCGAGUGGAAUUCCCGGUGUAGUGGUGAAAUGCGCAGAUAUCGGGAGGAACACCAGUAGCGAAGGCGGCUCGCUGGGCCAUUCCUGACGCUGAGACGCGAAAGCUAGGGGAGCGAACAGG
This 253-nucleotide ribosomal RNA is filed under the name uncultured bacterium. Its description in RNAcentral is "partial 16S ribosomal RNA". It matches the Rfam family "Bacterial small subunit ribosomal RNA", at positions 524 to 776 of the family's 1533-position model. The record is from RNAcentral.